UACGGGGGGAGCAAGCGUUGUUCGGAUUUACUGGGCGUAAAGGGCGCGUAGGCGGCGUGACAAGUCACUUUGUGAAAUCUCCGGGGCUUAACUCGGAAACGGGUCAAGUGAUACUGGUCGGACUAGAGUACAGAAGGGGCAACUGGAAUUCUCGGGUGGUAGCGGUGAAAUGCGUAGAUAUCGAGAGGAACACCUGCGGCGAAGGCGG
Molecule: ribosomal RNA, 208 nt
Filed under: uncultured bacterium
Lineage: Bacteria
Description: partial 16S ribosomal RNA
Rfam family: Bacterial small subunit ribosomal RNA
Source: RNAcentral